This 429-nucleotide ribosomal RNA is filed under the name Gemmatimonadota bacterium. RNAcentral's name for it is "Gemmatimonadetes bacterium partial 16S ribosomal RNA". It matches the Rfam family "Bacterial small subunit ribosomal RNA", at positions 355 to 776 of the family's 1533-position model. Lineage: Bacteria; Pseudomonadati; Gemmatimonadota. The record is from RNAcentral.
UAGGGAAUCUUCGGCAAUGGACGAAAGUCUGACCGAGCAACGCCGCGUGAGUGAAGAAGGUUUUAGGAUUGUAAAACUCUUUUGUUAGAGAAGAACAAGGACGUUAGUAACUGAACGUCCCCUGACGGUAUCUAACCAGAAAGCCACGGCUAACUACGUGCCAGCAGCCGCGGUAAUACGUAGGUGGCAAGCGUUGUCCGGAUUUAUUGGGCGUAAAGCGAGCGCAGGCGGUUUCUUAAGUCUGAUGUGAAAGCCCCCGGCUCAACCGGGGAGGGUCAUUGGAAACUGGGAGACUUGAGUGCAGAAGAGGAGAGUGGAAUUCCAUGUGUAGCGGUGAAAUGCGUAGAUAUAUGGAGGAACACCAGUGGCGAAGGCGGCUCUCUGGUCUGUAACUGACGCUGAGGCUCGAAAGCGUGGGGAGCAAACAGG